RNAcentral lists this ribosomal RNA (119 nucleotides) under Pteropus alecto (black flying fox). Lineage: Eukaryota; Metazoa; Chordata; Mammalia; Chiroptera; Pteropodidae. The record is from RNAcentral.
GUCUACGGCCAUGCCACCCUGAACAAGCCCGAUCCUGUCUGAUCUCGGAAGCUAAGCAGGGUCGGGCCUGGUUAGUACUUGGAUGGGAGACUGCCUAGGAAGACCAGGUGCUGUAGGCA